AUGCACAGGACUCUCGGGCUCUCGGCCCAGCCAAUUCUCGCAGGCCAACACGGCGGUAUUCCUCGGCGCACAUCCAGUCAGUCAGACGCACGCCUCAAAAAAGAAAAAAACCAGUCAGACGCUGAUCUCAUAAAAAAAAUCCAGUCAGACGUACGCCGACGAGACACGAGCACACGAGACAGCACCACGGACUCUUCCGACCAACGCAGCGCUGCACGGGCGACGGCACGGGACGAAGCGUCCUGGUGCGAGCCCUUGCCAGUUGCCACGCCAAUGGACGAUUGUUUUUGCCAACCAGUUGCAGCUUGCGGUUGCCCGGAGCAUGCCCGCCCGGCGCGGCUCGUAUGGAGCAGAGCACGGGCGACGGCAGCCAAGCGCGGCGUGGCGAAGAAAGCGGCGGAUGAGCCGUGA
RNAcentral lists this ribosomal RNA (411 nucleotides) under Triticum aestivum (bread wheat). Its description in RNAcentral is "partial small subunit ribosomal RNA". Lineage: Eukaryota; Viridiplantae; Streptophyta; Magnoliopsida; Poales; Poaceae. The record is from RNAcentral.